GGGGAUUUAGCUCAGCAGCAUAAGCACCUGCCUUGCAAGCAGGCAGUCCUGAGUCCCCG
Molecule: transfer RNA, 59 nt
Filed under: Cavia porcellus (domestic guinea pig)
Lineage: Eukaryota; Metazoa; Chordata; Mammalia; Rodentia; Caviidae
Source: Rfam by way of RNAcentral